CCUACGGGUGGCAGCAGUGGGGAAUAUUGGACAAUGGGGGGAACCCUGAUCCAGCCAUGCCGCGUGUGUGAAGAAGGCCCUCGGGUUGUAAAGCACUUUCAGUGAGGAAGAACGCCUGGUGGUUAAUACCCAUCAGGAAAGACAUCACUCACAGAAGAAGCACCGGCUAACUCCGUGCCAGCAGCCGCGGUAAUACGGAGGGUGCGAGCGUUAAUCGGAAUUACUGGGCGUAAAGCGCGCGUAGGUGGCUUGAUAAGCCGGUUGUGAAAGCCCCGGGCUCAACCUGGGAACGGCAUCCGGAACUGUCAAGCUAGAGUGCAGGAGAGGAAGGUAGAAUUCCCGAUGUAGCGGUGAAAUGCGUAGAGAUCGGGAGGAAUACCAGUGGCGAAGGCGGCCUUCUGGACUGACACUGACACUGAGGUGCGAAAGCGUGGGUAGCAAACAGGAUUAGAUACCCCUGUAGUC
This 465-nucleotide ribosomal RNA is filed under the name Vreelandella stevensii. Its description in RNAcentral is "partial 16S ribosomal RNA". It matches the Rfam family "Bacterial small subunit ribosomal RNA", at positions 338 to 795 of the family's 1533-position model. The record is from RNAcentral. Lineage: Bacteria; Pseudomonadati; Pseudomonadota; Gammaproteobacteria; Oceanospirillales; Halomonadaceae.